Molecule: long non-coding RNA, 810 nt
Organism: Dendrobium catenatum
Lineage: Eukaryota; Viridiplantae; Streptophyta; Magnoliopsida; Asparagales; Orchidaceae
Exons: 3
Source: RefSeq, a predicted model, not a curated record
AGGGAUUUGUUCCGAUCGGGUUGGGUCGUGACAGUGGGGUCGGUUGCGCAGGCGCGUUGGAGGAGAGGGACAUGUCUAAGCGACAGUGUGCGAAUUGAUAGCGGAUCUGAUCGUGUGCUGGAGCAAAUGAGAGGAUCAAACACGAAGACGCUAGGAUGGUUGUCGACGAUCAUAUUCUGUCUAGGAAUGAAUGAAAUUAGAACAUGAAUCAAUCAUUGGAUCAAGUGAUGUAUUCACUUGAGCUGCCCAAAGGGCUUCGCGGCUUCGAUCAUCAUCCAUCGCCCAUCUUCUUCGGAUCGUCGAUAGCUCAUCUUCUUCGGAGCAAAGAUUCUAGAUGAAGGAAGGAAAUAUAACACACAAGCCACUAACCUGAAUGAGAAUGGAAGUAAAUUUACAGUAUUCACGCAUGUCUUCUUCAGAAAUUUUCAAUGGUAUGUCCCUUCCAGAAAAGAUAAAUUUAUUUAAAAGUUUUGCUGCAGGCCUCAAAACUCAGCAGAAUGGUCCUAUCGUUUACACAUCAAGCAAAUUUCAAUUGGAGAUAUCUCAGAUGACCAACAAUAAGCCAACAAUAUUAGCAGGGUAAAGAGAAGCUGAAUUCUCAUCCAUGAAAAAUUGUGGGAGCAAACCUCUAUAUGGCUUUUUGCCAUUUCACAUCAUCGUCGAAGCGCCGGUAACUACUCGCUUUGUCCAGUAUAUGCAAUGUCACAUCAUCAAAAUCAAAGGAGACCUUUUUGAACUUUUCUGCCCAAAUCAAGGCUCUCUCAGCCAGCCCUUGUUUACAGAAAUGAGACAGAAGGAGGUUGACCGUAA